GGCUGGUUAGCUCAGUCAGUAGAGCGUAGCGCUAACAACACUAAGGUCCUGGGUUCAAUUCCCGGUCGGUCC
RNAcentral lists this transfer RNA (72 nucleotides) under Apaloderma vittatum (bar-tailed trogon). It matches the Rfam family "tRNA". Rfam says of the family: Transfer RNA (tRNA) molecules are approximately 80 nucleotides in length. Their secondary structure includes four short double-helical elements and three loops (D, anti-codon, and T loops). Lineage: Eukaryota; Metazoa; Chordata; Aves; Trogoniformes; Trogonidae. The record is from Rfam by way of RNAcentral.